AAGGCACGAAUGCCAGUUUAUCUUUAAAUGCUGUUUGGAAUGAGAAGGAAUAUUCUCUGACAAGUUACUUACAGUGCAGGAACUGCCUCGUCCAGUCAGUGUCUCCAUGCCCUUUGAUAGGAGCUGAGGUUACUCAUUUCAGCAAUAAAGCACAGUCAUGGGUCUGGCUGCUCCCAUCGUCUGUUCAUUAUUGCUUACUGCUGCAGAACCCUCAAAAACGGAAAACAGGCAACUCAGAUUAUACUUUAUCUUAAAAGAUUUUGCUGAUCUCUACCACGAAUUCAUCAGGACUAAUGAGACAGAUAAGUAAAGGAUUUUGUUAUUACAUGCCAACUCCAUAAAGAUACUCUGGGGUAAGCGGAGAGGUGGUACAAUCUUUGUGUGUGAGUGAUGGGAAAGAGCUACCUGGUUACAAAUUCUGGUCCCACUGAAGUCGGCAGGGGUUCUGCCAUUUGCCUUCAACAAAGCAAAGGGUUUCACCAUGUGUUUAACAGGAAUAUUUUGCUGGAGUUGUUGUCAGCAUACUAGUAAACAUACAUUUUAAAAUUGAC
RNAcentral lists this long non-coding RNA (551 nucleotides) under Gallus gallus (chicken). RNAcentral describes it as "long non-coding RNA NONGGAT003547". The record is from RNAcentral. Lineage: Eukaryota; Metazoa; Chordata; Aves; Galliformes; Phasianidae.